AGACCAUGCACUUGAAACCAUGCUGCUGGUGGAACAAGAAAAAUUUACUAUUCAUUUGCCCUGACAUUACUAUUCAGGAUGAAAAUCCAGGUCUCAGAGUGUGGACUUCAACUUUAUGAAAAUGGAUGCCAAAGCACAUUGACAACUAAAGAUAAGAAGUUUUCAACUUAUAUAUCAUUUUUUAACAAUCAGUAAUGAAUGGCUGGCCGGGUUAGAAAAUGAAAAAGCAUAAUAUAGUUCAUCUCUCACAUCUCCUUCAGAGUUAAAUAGAAGUUCAGUUAAAUUAUUAAGUAAAGGUUCCUUUAAGCACAGUGAAAAUAUAUUGAAGGUUAGACGGUAUCUGAGUGGAUGAUUUUCAUUCUAACUUUUUAGUAAAAUCCCACAUACCAUGCUAUAUUACAGUAUAGGGUGGGAUUUUUAAAAUUCAUAAUCAGUCAUGUAUUUAAUUUGAGCAGUAUCUAUUUGUUUGAAAGACAGUAAGUGCUUUGGAUAAGAGUGUAUCUUAAAAUCUCUCUCUUGGAAGGUACACUUAAGAAUAUCUCACCCAAUGUAGGAAUCCCCCGUAAAGCAAUCCGUGACAGUCUUCCAGACUCUGCAUGAGCCUGUUCAACAAUGGAGUAAUCAUGAACCCUUAUGGUAGCUAAUGUACUUUUAAAAACUCUAAUCAUUAGGCUAUUCUUUAUUUAUUAUUAAAGGAGUUAUUGAAAUACUGAGCAGAGAAAUAUAAUAAAGUCCAAACUACUUAGCAUGCUGUUCAAACAUUUUUACAAACUAAAUUCAAAUAGCUGCUCUAUCUGCUUCAUUGUUUACCCUUUAAAUGAGCCUCACAUACCUUCCCAGGCAUAACUACUGUAAAUAUGUCUCUAAGCCAACUUCUUUCUACUUAAAUAUGAGCAAGUUUUUAUCCUCACUGUACUUCAGUCUCUGUUAAAAAAAAUUGGUAAUAACAAGGUCCACCCAAAAUUGUGUGGAAAGGAUUCAAUGAAUAUUCUCCAAGUGUCUAGGACACCACCUAGUAUGUAUAACUAAUUUAUGCUAGGUCUUAUUGUUGCUAUUGCUGUUUUCUCAUUAAUAUUAGAAUUUUCCAUAUUUUCUUAUUGCCUAUCUCUGAUUCUAAUCCAUUAUUUUGACUAUUUUCAGCCAUAUAUUUCCUUUGACUGGAGUCAUCUUUGGCUUUUUCCAUCUUGAUUUGAUAUUCUGCAUAUUCCAGCCUGUGACUCCUGGUUUUCACCCCUGUUAGCUUCACAUACAAAGAAACCACUUAUGAACUGCACAGGCUGGACUGCCCUUCAUUCAGCCAUGAAUUAACGGUCAAGAAAUCGGACUGAAAACAAAACUGUUAAAAGUGCUACAAACACACAGGGCUAUAUAAAUGGUGGCAGUUGGACAAAGAUUGAGUUACAGAAGCAUUGCCCUGAUGGUGACUGAAGCCAACAAAGGAAGAAGAGAACUCUCAAUCAAGACAUUCAAACUUAGGCUAUGAGUCCAUCUACAAUCCAAUAUCCAUCCAUCUAACAAGUCACUCUGAUCCAACCUGAUUGUUCUUCUUCAGAAGUCCCUAAAAAGCUCUUUGAUUUCCUUUUCUCUACCACCUGUGUUAGAGACAAGUGACUGUCUCAAUCUAUAGGCUUCUUUUCUUCCUUUAUAAGUGAACCCUCUAUUUUUUAGUGAGAAAUCUGACAAUCCAGAAUUCAGACUACAUUUUCCAGCCUCUCUUUAAAAUGUCUGUGACUCAUAGAUCCAAAUUCUGGCCAAUGGUAUGGAGGUAACAUGAAGUAUCAGUUACCAAAUGA
Long non-coding RNA from Leopardus geoffroyi (Geoffroy's cat), 1793 nucleotides. RefSeq lists it as uncharacterized. Lineage: Eukaryota; Metazoa; Chordata; Mammalia; Carnivora; Felidae. The transcript has 3 exons. The record is from RefSeq and is a predicted model, not a curated record.